This 399-nucleotide ribosomal RNA is filed under the name Triticum aestivum (bread wheat). RNAcentral describes it as "partial small subunit ribosomal RNA". The record is from RNAcentral. Lineage: Eukaryota; Viridiplantae; Streptophyta; Magnoliopsida; Poales; Poaceae.
AUGCCAUGGUUCAGCAGCUGUGCGGACACAUACACCGUCAGAGUCAAUAUAUGUCAAGAAUCAGAUAAUCAUGUCAAGAAUCGUACUUAUGCCUGCUUUCUAGAAAACAUGCACACAUAUAUCAAGAAUUGUAUAGUGGUAUGUGAGUGGCAGUGGCACCUCGAAGAAUCCCCAGUUCUCGCAGGCGUCGCGGAUGACCUCCAUGGCCGCGCCCCUCUCCCCGGUCUCAAGCUUCUCCAUGUUGAUCACCGGGAAGUUCAACGAGACAGCAGCAUCAGCAGGAAUUGCCAUCGCUCUCGAUCUAAUGUCUCUCUUACACACACACUCUCGAUAUCUGUAUGUGUGUGCGCUGGACUGCUAAUGUUAGCUGAAGCAGAGAGUGUGUUGAGUGCGCUCUGA